GAAAUGAAACACCUGUGACCUGUGGGCUUUCACAGAGGAGGAAAAACACGCUCGACUUCCAGCUGCGCCGUUUUAAAUGAAAGGAGCGAGGACACGAAACGAACGGACUAAAAGAAAGAUGAGGACGUGUUGGUGAGGAGAAACAGCAGGAGGCGAAGCACAGACUGAACAUGCUGCAGGUUGCAUGAGUGACAGAGAUGGGAGCAGCAAGAUCAUAUUGGCACACUUUUGCUGCGUUGGUGGUUUUUGCCCACUUUUGGAUCGUUAAAGGUGAAAGGUCAGAGGUCGGUGGAAAGG
Nematolebias whitei (Rio pearlfish) is the source of this 297-nucleotide long non-coding RNA. RefSeq lists it as uncharacterized. The transcript is spliced from 3 exons. The record is from RefSeq and is a predicted model, not a curated record. NCBI's taxonomy places the organism in Eukaryota, Metazoa, Chordata, Actinopteri, Cyprinodontiformes, Rivulidae.